AAAAGCCAAAAGGAACAGAUAUAAAUCAUUGUAGGUUAAUAUUUUUUUCAUUGUCUAUACGUUGUAUGACAGGCAUUGCUGUUUAACUGUCAUUAAUGAUUGCUCUGACCUUUAGAUUAUCUAAGAAUUUAUCAGAGAAGAAUCAUUUGGCAACUAUCUAGGGGUUCAAAUAGGCAAAUUGUGAGCUGCUGAUGUACAACAGGUUGAGAAACCAGCCUUCAAAUGCUUUAAUGGUAGGCAAAUCUUAAGCAAUUUAUAAGUUUUAACAGUGUUCUGAUUUAAGGAAGAAGGGGACUAGGGUUAAGAGUUUGAUUUAUAGCUAAUAGAUUGAGAAGAAUAUUUGUGGUGGUUUUUUUUACUGUGAACAGUAUCCAAAGUAUUGUAGCAGCUGAGUAAAGCAGCAGCAGCACAGAGAAAGAAGAGAAAUGAA
RNAcentral lists this unclassified non-coding RNA (430 nucleotides) under Hevea brasiliensis (rubber tree). The record is from RNAcentral. Lineage: Eukaryota; Viridiplantae; Streptophyta; Magnoliopsida; Malpighiales; Euphorbiaceae.